This 848-nucleotide ribosomal RNA is filed under the name Arthrobacter sp. RNAcentral's name for it is "bacterial SSU rRNA". It matches the Rfam family "Bacterial small subunit ribosomal RNA", at positions 15 to 870 of the family's 1533-position model. The record is from RNAcentral. Lineage: Bacteria; Bacillati; Actinomycetota; Actinomycetes; Micrococcales; Micrococcaceae.
GAUCCCUGGCUCAGGAUGAACGCUGGCGGCGUGCUUAACACAUGCAAGUCGAACGAUGAUCUCCAGCUUGCUGGGGGGAUUAGUGGCGAACGGGUGAGUAACACGUGAGUAACCUGCCCUUGACUCUGGGAUAAGCCUGGGAAACUGGGUCUAAUACCGGAUAUGACCAUUCCGCGCAUGCGGUGGUGGUGGAAAGCUUUUGCGGUUUUGGAUGGACUCGCGGCCUAUCAGCUUGUUGGUGGGGUAAUGGCCUACCAAGGCGACGACGGGUAGCCGGCCUGAGAGGGUGACCGGCCACACUGGGACUGAGACACGGCCCAGACUCCUACGGGAGGCAGCAGUGGGGAAUAUUGCACAAUGGGCGCAAGCCUGAUGCAGCGACGCCGCGUGAGGGAUGACGGCCUUCGGGUUGUAAACCUCUUUCAGUAGGGAAGAAGCCGCAAGGUGACGGUACCUGCAGAAGAAGCGCCGGCUAACUACGUGCCAGCAGCCGCGGUAAUACGUAGGGCGCAAGCGUUAUCCGGAAUUAUUGGGCGUAAAGAGCUCGUAGGCGGUUUGUCGCGUCUGCUGUGAAAGACCGGGGCUCAACUCCGGUUCUGCAGUGGGUACGGGCAGACUAGAGUGAUGUAGGGGAGACUGGAAUUCCUGGUGUAGCGGUGAAAUGCGCAGAUAUCAGGAGGAACACCGAUGGCGAAGGCAGGUCUCUGGGCAUUAACUGACGCUGAGGAGCGAAAGCAUGGGGAGCGAACAGGAUUAGAUACCCUGGUAGUCCAUGCCGUAAACGUUGGGCACUAGGUGUGGGGGACAUUCCACGUUUUCCGCGCCGUAGCUAACGCAUUAAGUGCCCC